This 526-nucleotide small RNA is filed under the name Pongo abelii (Sumatran orangutan). RNAcentral's name for it is "processed transcript". Lineage: Eukaryota; Metazoa; Chordata; Mammalia; Primates; Hominidae. The record is from RNAcentral.
AAGGAAGGCACGCACAAUGAGUUUGAGUGUUUAUUAUGUUCCAGACAUCAUGUUAAACUCUGAAUCUCCUAUUUAGUCUUCAUCAUAACCCGUAGGUGAAAACCUCAGUAAAGAAAACCCAGGCCAAAGCCAACCCAGCUGCCGCCAGAGCAUCUUCAGCAAAAGGGACAAUUUCAGCCCCUGGAAAAGUUGUCACUGCAGCUGCUCAAGCCAAACAGAGGUCUCCAUCCAAGGUGAAGCCACCAGUGAGAAACCCCCAGAACAGUACCGUCUUGGCGAGGGGCCCAACAUGUGUGCCACCUGUGGGGAAGGCCGUGGCUACAGCAGUUCAGGCCCAGACAGGGCCAGAGGAGGACUCAGGGAGCAGUGAGGAGGAGUCAGACAGUGAGGAGGAGGCGGAGACGCCAGCUCAGGCGAAGCCUUCAGGGAAGACCCCCCAGAUCAGAGCUGCCUUGCCUCCUGCCAAGGAGUCCCCCAGGAAAGGGGCUGCCCCAACACCUCCUGGGAAGACAGGGCCUUCAGCUGC